RNAcentral lists this ribosomal RNA (253 nucleotides) under uncultured bacterium. Its description in RNAcentral is "partial 16S ribosomal RNA". It matches the Rfam family "Bacterial small subunit ribosomal RNA", at positions 524 to 776 of the family's 1533-position model. The record is from RNAcentral.
UACAGAGGGGGCAAGCGUUGUUCGGAAUUACUGGGCGUAAAGGGCGCGUAGGCGGCCGCCUAAGUCAGACGUGAAAUCCCUCGGCUCAACCGGGGAACUGCGUCUGAUACUGGGUGGCUUGAAUCCGGGAGAGGGAUGUGGAAUUCCAGGUGUAGCGGUGAAAUGCGUAGAUAUCUGGAGGAACACCGGUGGCGAAGGCGGCAUCCUGGACCGGCAUUGACGCUGAGGAGCGAAAGCCAGGGGAGCAAACGGG